AUUUUCGUUUUCAUCUAAAUAACGAAGCUUUAGAUUGUGUUCAUCAUGAAGUUUGUUGUACUUCUUCUGGUCACUUUUCUUUUUCAUGAUGCAAAAGGAAACGAAGUGUUGUCCUGUUUGCAUUGCUCGAGUUUCCUGUCAAUGGAUGACUGCACUGAAAACCAACGAGAGCAAAUCUGUUUUGGAGAAGAAAACCGCUGUGGAACGUUCAUCUCCCACUCCCCUGGACUGCAAGGCUACGCAAAAGGAUGCUUAACUGACUUUCUCUGCCAGGAAUACCAAGCCCAGGGUUACUGUGAGCAGAACCUUGGAGUUGAAUGUGAAGUAAAAUGCUGCCAGAGUAACCUCUGUAACUACUAAACUCCCAGUUUCCACUGGCAGCUUCAUAUUCUUGUUGCCAUAACACCAGAAAUAAACAUUCAAUCGCUGAA
This is a non-coding RNA of Pocillopora verrucosa, 431 nucleotides long. NCBI's taxonomy places the organism in Eukaryota, Metazoa, Cnidaria, Anthozoa, Scleractinia, Pocilloporidae. The record is from RefSeq and is a predicted model, not a curated record.